AGUCGAGCGGAAAGGCCCUUUCGGGGGUACUCGAGCGGCGAACGGGUGAGUAACACGUGAGUAAUCUGCCCUGGACUCUGGGAUAGCCACCGGAAACGGUGAUUAAUACCGGAUAUGACCACUCUAGGCAUCUAGUGGUGGUGGAAAGUUUUUCGGUCCAGGAUGUGCUCGCGGCCUAUCAGCUUGUUGGUGAGGUAAUGGCUCACCAAGGCUUUGACGGGUAGCCGGCCUGAGAGGGUGACCGGUCACACUGGGACUGAGACACGGCCCAGACUCCUACGGGAGGCAGCAGUGGGGAAUAUUGGACAAUGGGCGGAAGCCUGAUCCAGCAACGCCGCGUGAGGGAUGACGGCCUUCGGGUUGUAAACCUCUUUCAGUACCGACGAAGCGAAAGUGACGGUAGGUACAGAAGAAGGACCGGCCAACUACGUGCCAGCAGCCGCGGUAAUACGUAGGGUCCGAGCGUUGUCCGGAAUUAUUGGGCGUAAAGGGCUCGUAGGCGGUUUGUCGCGUCGGGAGUGAAAACAGCGGGCUUAACUCGUUGCUUGCUUUCGAUACGGGCAGACUAGAGGUAUGCAGGGGAGAAUGGAAUUCCUGGUGUAGCGGUGAAAUGCGCAGAUAUCAGGAGGAACACCGGUGGCGAAGGCGGUUCUCUGGGCAUUACCUGACGCUGAGGAGCGAAAGUGUGGGGAGCGAACAGGAUUAGAUACCCUGGUAGUCCACA
This 724-nucleotide ribosomal RNA is filed under the name uncultured bacterium. RNAcentral describes it as "bacterial SSU rRNA". It matches the Rfam family "Bacterial small subunit ribosomal RNA", at positions 60 to 799 of the family's 1533-position model. The record is from RNAcentral.